AGCUUGCUGGUUCUGGAUGAGUGGCGAACGGGUGAGUAACACGUGAGUAACCUGCCCCCUUCUUCUGGAUAACCGCAUGAAAGUGUGGCUAAUACGGGAUAUUCUGGGUCUGUCGCAUGGCGGGUCUGGGAAAGAUGCGCCUUUGGGUGUUUUUGGUGGGGGAUGGGCUCGCGGCCUAUCAGCUUGUUGGUGGGGUGAUGGCCUACCAAGGCGGUGACGGGUAGCCGGCCUGAGAGGGUGGACGGUCACACUGGGACUGAGACACGGCCCAGACUCCUACGGGAGGCAGCAGUGGGGAAUAUUGCACAAUGGGCGCAAGCCUGAUGCAGCGACGCCGCGUGAGGGAUGGAGGCCUUCGGGUUGUAAACCUCUUUCGCCAGUGAAGCAGGCCUGCUCCUUGUGGGUGGGUUGACGGUAGCUGGAUAAGAAGCGCCGGCUAACUACGUGCCAGCAGCCGCGGUAAUACGUAGGGCGCGAGCGUUGUCCGGAAUUAUUGGGCGUAAAGAGCUCGUAGGCGGCUGGUCGCGUCUGUCGUGAAAUCCUCUGGCUUAACUGGGGGCUUGCGGUGGGUACGGGCCGGCUUGAGUGCGGUAGGGGAGACUGGAACUCCUGGUGUAGCGGUGGAAUGCGCAGAUAUCAGGAAGAACACCGGUGGCGAAGGCGGGUCUCUGGGCCGUUACUGACGCUGAGGAGCGAAAGCGUGGGGAGCGAAC
This 713-nucleotide ribosomal RNA is filed under the name Actinomyces sp. V17 2011423. RNAcentral's name for it is "bacterial SSU rRNA". It matches the Rfam family "Bacterial small subunit ribosomal RNA", at positions 75 to 773 of the family's 1533-position model. The record is from RNAcentral. Lineage: Bacteria; Bacillati; Actinomycetota; Actinomycetes; Actinomycetales; Actinomycetaceae.